GCGGGUGUGGCGGAAUUGGCAGACGCACUAGACUUAGAAUCUAGCGCCUUACGGCGUGGGGGUUCGACUCCCUUCACCCGCA
Molecule: transfer RNA, 82 nt
Filed under: Staphylococcus aureus
Lineage: Bacteria; Bacillati; Bacillota; Bacilli; Caryophanales; Staphylococcaceae
Description: tRNA-Leu
Rfam family: tRNA
About the family: Transfer RNA (tRNA) molecules are approximately 80 nucleotides in length.
Source: RNAcentral